Aegilops tauschii subsp. strangulata is the source of this 1728-nucleotide non-coding RNA. The record is from RefSeq and is a predicted model, not a curated record. NCBI's taxonomy places the organism in Eukaryota, Viridiplantae, Streptophyta, Magnoliopsida, Poales, Poaceae.
UAAUCGCUUGGUUGCUCCAUCGCUGUUUUCGCCUUGCUCGGCGAUCCCUCCUGCCGCUGUAGCGCGGCCCAUCGUGCUGGAGCACAGCAUCGAUGUCGUCUCCUAAAGGCGACCAUGGCGGCCCUAACGGCCUUCAAUAACGGCGCACCAAGGUGACCGGGAGCCUCACCAACGCUGCAGAGGAGGUCCAUGUUGCCAUUGUCUGCCUGGGCGUCCGUUCUUCACAACAGCAAAACGACCAUGCAUCGCUGCUCCAGCCAACAUGCUACAUACGUGUUGUGCUUUUGCAUUUUCAUUCCGUAUAGAUUGUUUUUUUUACCGUGUCAAGCUUUGCCUCGUCUCCAUGCUUCCUAGGUGUAUGUAGUCAUCUUGUUUUUACUUAAUCAAUAACCAAUUCUUCAUUCCCAAUUUCACAUAUAUUAUGGACAACAAGCCUAUGUCCAUGCUACCACUAUACAAUCUGCUUCCAUAGGAUGUAAAAACAAUCUAAGCAUUUGUAUGUUGGUGACACAAAACAUCCAUCCCCUUGUUACCAAAAGUAUUAGUCUGCUUCAAUGUUCGUUGUUAUAUGCUUCCAUUUGAGCUCUUGUAUAUGGCGGAUGUUCUACUUAUUGUCAAGCAUCUUGCAACACGCUCUUUCCAUGCUUCUUACCUAUGGAGAUUUUAAAUUGUAACACACAUGCUUCUUGGGGGCUUCCAUAGGUAAACAAAAUUCAGUGAAAUUUGUAUGUUGUUGAGACCAAACAUGCAUCACAAUGUUUGCCAAAUCUUUGGUUAUUUUCAUUUUCAAUGUUCUAUAUUUCCAACUAAGAAAAAUCAUAUUUAUAUAGCAUAUUUUCUUGCUUCCUGCGAGCUUCCAAAUCAUACUUCAAACGCUUCUUCGGUUUAUGCAGAUUGCUUCUGUAUUUCCUGCUUCUUAUUUUAUAACUUUUGUGUUAUAUCCUCGCUAUCACAUGUGUCUUCAUUCCAGGUAGUUUGUUCACAUAGUUCCAACUUGUCAUUUAAAAAAACACAUUUGAGCACACGUAUGUAAACGUUGCCGUUGUGCUACAUUCAUGCUUCCACUGUGUAUCAUGAAUGUUUUGAUAGAUCAAAUCAUUGCUUCAUAUAAGCCAUGAUUUCUACCUUUAUAUUUUGCAUAUGCCUCUAUAGCAAUGAUUGUUUUUCUCUGUAUCAAUUCUCUAUGCUUGCACUACCUAUCAUGUGUGUUGUGAUAGAUCAAGCUAUUCCUUCUUGUAAGCUAUGCUUCCUAUUUUUAUGUUUUUAUAGUAAUGACUCUUUUUUCUUUAUCUCAAUAUUCUACUCCUCCAUUGCCUAGCAUCUAUAUAGUGAUAUAUCCAAAUGUGUCAUAUUUAUGUGUUUCUGUUAUACAAAUGUUUUGUGCCACACAAUUCCGAGCAUGCAUAAUUGGUUUUCCAAUCGCCUUGUAGUGCCCUCGCCCCAUGACGUCGACACUGCCGAUAUGAAGGCAACAUAGGUGGUGGAAGCAACAAAGGUCACUGAGAUCUCGGUCCUUAAUCGCGACGCUGCAGCCCAAGACAAUACCCAUGCUUCCCAGAUAUAUUAGGCCUCAUUUUUGUAUCAUAUUUUGUUGUAAUGUAAUUAAUGUGUUGUAUUAUAUUUUGGUUUCAUGGAAGCAGAUUCUCUAUUCUUUGGAAGCAAAUUUUCGUUUAUUGUGGAAACAAUGUAUAGCUAUAACAGAAACCAAUUUAUUUUUGUGGAAGCAAA